Molecule: unclassified non-coding RNA, 782 nt
Filed under: Hevea brasiliensis (rubber tree)
Lineage: Eukaryota; Viridiplantae; Streptophyta; Magnoliopsida; Malpighiales; Euphorbiaceae
Source: RNAcentral
GGGGGGUGUGGGGGUUAGGGGGCAAGAACAGAAAAAUCCUGACAAGAUGUUUAGAGAUAACAUCUAAUAAGUUUGAUGCAUGGAAACAUGGAUGAAGUCAUGUAUAAGUGUAUACAAUAAAAUUGUUACAAUAACAAGCUCGUCCCAUCUCUCAUUUAACAGGAGAGAUUCUCACAUCUGUUUGACUUUAUGGCUGGAGUUGCACAAAAGCAAAUGAUUGACAAGCAACAGUUCCAAGGACUGUUGUGAAGGCACUAUUAACUCAUGUUGUAUUAGCCAUCUAGUUUCUUGAAAUCACACGGACAAUUAGCAAUUAACUUAAGGAUUUGGAAACCAGUAAACAUUCAGAUUCAAAAUGCAAAUUUGUUAGCAGAAAUAAUAUCUCAAAGGAAAAGCUGGAGGUUCUCAUGGAGAUGCAGCAGCAGCAUCAUUGCCGCUAGUUGCACCAAUGACAAUGCAUGCAUAACAGUGGCCAGCAGCUAUUGUGACACCAUUCCCGCUUUUAGAUGUAUAUCUUCUAAACAUCUUCAGAUAUCCUCUAACAAUGUAAUAUAAUUUACUAGAUGAUGAACAGAUACAACAAUAACUGCUGACGUACCUGAGCUGAAUCAAUACUUUCGCGAUGAAACUGGCAAAUUUUCCCCAAAGCAGAAACAGCAUUAUCAUAUGCCAUCACAUUUUCAGGUUGCUUAGCAUUAGGAUGCCGUAUCACAACAUUUAGUCUUGAAAGAGCCUCUCCAACAAGAGGUUUAAAUACAGAGCCACCAAACUCUGCACAAACU